AGAUUAGUCCGCGCAGCGUGACGUCAGCUGUUGGUCUUGUCCGUCCUUUUCUGCCAUGUCGUUUACUUCCUCAAGCGUGCACGGUUAACUAUACACUACUAUUUAAUUUUUGCUGUGACAAUUCGGUGAAUGGUCAUAACAUGAAACGUUGUCGGUCGACAAAGGGGUGCUACUUUUCAUGACGAACGGAUACGUGACCAAAACACCGGAAGUGAAUAAAUAGCUCCGGCCGCUCCACCCCAACGCCUGAGACCGCCGUCAGCUAGCGUGAUUGCCAGGUGAAAGCUUGCUUUUUCUGAUAUUUUACAUGCGGUAUUUCAAUGUUCGAGUAUUUCAAUGCAGUCGAGGAGGCCACUGAACGUGUAGACGUUUUAUCUGCUAGCUGUUGUGUUUUUCGACUCCGCUUCCUUUAGCCGUGUUUACCAGCCUUACAGUCGGCUAAGUGUCGUGUUUUGGCAGCUGUAUCGGCGGCAAAUGAAGUGGUUUUAGGGUGGUCUGAGGUCGUAGUCACGUGACAAAGAGGACCCCCCCCCCCCCCCCCCCCCCGCCCAGCCAUGGAAACAAUGUUUUCAAACUGAAAUGAUCCUUUCAUCCUUAGGGAGAAUAUUCCUAUAAAGCAUUGUUGCCUGCAGCUGUACUAGGCGGCCUUUGCUUCUUGCCACCAUGGUGAGAUCCAUAGAGCUCUCCGAGGCCUCCAGAAUGGAGAUUGUCCAAGCGUAUGCGUCUGGCAAAGGAUAUAAAAAGAUCUCCAAACAAUUUGAAAUCAGCACUUCCACCAUAAGGAAAAUCAUUUACAAAUGGAAAACCAGUAAAACGACGGCCAACAGGCCUCGGUCCGGCCGGCCUAGCAAGUUCAGCGCAUCGGCAGACUGCAAGAUGCUCAAAGAACUCUCCAAAAAUCCCCAAAUGUCAUCACGGGACCUGCAGGAAGCUCUUGCUGCAGUUGAUGUCAGAGUGCACGCGUCCACCAUCAGAAAGAGGCUACACAAGUUUGAAUAUGCGUGGGAGGCGUGUGAGAAGGAAAGCCUUUCUGUCCAAGAACAACCUGACCAGACUGAAGAACGUCUAGCCCAAGGGUCUCCAGCAGAUGGCUCGCAAGCUACCAGUAGCUCAACACAGUAGCUGUCCUCGUGGGACCGCCUCAUCGUGUACAUAAUGAACCUUUCUCUUUCCAUAUGGAAUGACAACUGGACUUGUUCUUCUUCGGUGUUUUGGGGAGAGCUGAUCAGAAAGCUUCUGACCGUUUCAAAAAGGAAACAUUGGUGCCUGUCAAAGUACGACUCUGGCCCGGGACCCGAGGACCCGGGACCCGAGGACCCGGGAGGAUGAUUCUUCAGCACAACUUGACAAGUGCAGUAGUAGUUCCAGGAUACCAUGCCCUGCGAGGAUUUCCCUUUUCUCAUCCAUCUUCAACACCACUGAGCAGACUCGCAGCAUCCAGCCGGCGUGUUCUUGACUCCACCCGGCCGCCGUGUGUUCCGGUGACACUGCUGACGGGCCCCCAAGAUGACUUCAAGGUCUACUUUGCCGAGGGAGGCUGCUCGCCACGCUGACCCGACCCCUGCCAAGGACAACUCAUCAUGGGGUCUGUGAGAGCUCCGCUUGGUCUGGUUCCUCACCUGGUUUUGUUUGUCCUGGCUGGCCUAACGGGGGCAUUAAAGCUCCAGCAACGUAGCCCAAGUCAAGUCCUGGGGGUCUUGUUGGCCUGUGAGGGAAGGAUGGAACAUGACAUGAACAUGGGAUGGGUGAAGCGGAAGCUGCUGUUCCUACCAGGGCCGGCCUACAUGGACCAGAAAGUCAUAUCCCAUAUAUCUACGUACCAUAUCUGGCCCCGUACUUUCCUUUUCAGUUUAGACUAACUCCUAGGCAAACGUGCGUGUCAGGGUGAUGAUUCAAAUAAAUACGUACCAUGAGGAUGCUUAUUUCAAUGUUAGGACUUCAUGCAGGAUGCUCAUUCAAUGGAUGCUUCGUAAACAAUGUUCACGAGGAACGCAGCAGGAGCACGGCGGACAUCACACACAUUCCUCAUGGUGGAGUUUGUACCACGUUUUAUCUGUACUGCUCUGGAUUGGAAGUACCUCCAUAUUAAAGAGUUACUGCUUACUCCUUGCCCACUUCUUCCACCCAGACAUGCUAGCCUGUUAGCUUCGACUGAGCCUCCUCGCUCCUCCCUCCAUCAUGCAGGCAUCAGGGAGAUACAGCUCAAAUCCAGUCUAUCUCCGUAUCACCCAUAUGUUGGGUUUGAUAUCUCGCUUAAAGCAAAUGUGGAUAGUCCUACCUCACCUGUGGUACGAGUGUCUGGUACAAGCCAUCAAAUGAGUUUUCUCCCUAUGGUGGCUGGGCUCUCCUUCAGAGAAGAUGAGAAGCACUGUCAUCCAGGACAAAGUACGCAUUGAGAGAGCCAGAUGAGGUGGCUGGAGCAUCCUCUAGGUCCUAGCAGUAGUUCUACACUUCAUCAAGCACCGGUUACCUCAAAACACCAUGACUGCACAAGACUGGACAACGCGUCUCUGCCACAGCCAAGCAAGCUUGGUACUCGUCUUAUGGAGCACGCGUCCGUGGUAGACACCAUGGCCUGCGUGUUUCCUCCCACGUUCCAAAAGCAUGGAUCGUCCAUGGCUAUGACUGAUCGUCUAUACGUGGCUUGCCCUGAGCUGGUAGCCAACCCAGGGUGUAACCCACCUCGCCCAAAGUCAGCUGGGAUAGGCUCUGGCAUACCCCUAGUGAGGAAGAAGCGGCUUAGAAGAUGGAUGCAUGUGGUUGGACAGCAGCAGGAAAUGGAAGCUGAGAGGUAGGCAUGGAUGAAAGAUGGACUCUUGUCCAUGGUGACUGCAUUCCCGGCCACCACUGGUGGAGUGAAUGACUGACAUCCUGGAGCAGGGAGAACUACAUGUACCCACAGACCACAUUCGUGUCAUGGUGGCUUUGCAGUAUUUUCAUCACUUCUAGAACUGCUACUAUAGUAAUAAAUAUUGUUACAGGAAUACAUUUGCACGUGUUUUUUUUUAUCUAGCUAAAUUUGUAGGUGA
Molecule: long non-coding RNA, 3029 nt
Organism: Doryrhamphus excisus (bluestripe pipefish)
Lineage: Eukaryota; Metazoa; Chordata; Actinopteri; Syngnathiformes; Syngnathidae
Source: RefSeq, a predicted model, not a curated record